Molecule: ribosomal RNA, 497 nt
Filed under: uncultured bacterium
Lineage: Bacteria
Description: partial 16S ribosomal RNA
Rfam family: Bacterial small subunit ribosomal RNA
Source: RNAcentral
GAUGAACGCUGGCGGCGUGCUUAAUACAUGCAAGUCGAGCGAACGGACGCGUAGUUUGCUUCUUUGAUGUUUGCCGCAGACGGGUGUGUAACACGUGGAUAACCUACCUAUCAGACUGGUAUACCUUCGGGAAACCGGCGCUUAUCCCGGAUAAUAUUUUGAACCGCAUGGUUCAAGAGUGUAAGACGGUCUUGCUGUCACUUAUAGCUGGAUCCGCGCUGCAUUAGCUAGUUGGUAAGGUAACGGCGUACCAAGGCAACGAUGCAUAGCCGAUCUGAGAGAGGGAUCGGCCACACUGGAACUGGGACACGGUCCAUACUCCUACGGGAGGCAGCAGUAGGGAAUCUUCCGCAGUGGGCGAAAGCCUUACGGAGCAACGCCGCGUGAGUGAUGAAGGUCUUGGGAUCGUAAAACUCUGUUAUGAGGGAAGAACAUAUGUGUAAGUAACUGUGCACAAAGUGACGGUACCUAAUCAGAAAGCCACGGCUAACUACGUG